AGUGAACGCUGGCGGUAGGCCUAACACAUGCAAGUCGAACGGCAGCACAGUAAGAGCUUGCUCUUACGGGUGGCGAGUGGCGGACGGGUGAGGUAUACAUCGGACUCUACUUUUUCGUGGGGGAUAACGUAGGGAAACUUACGCUAAUACCGCAUACGACCUACGGUUGAAAGCAGGGGAUCUUCUGACCUUGCGCGAUUGAAUGAGCCGAUGUCGGAUUAGCUAGUUGGCGGGGUAAAGGCCCACCAAGGCGACGAUCCGUAGCUGGUCUGAGAGGAUGAUCAGCCACACUGGAAGUGAGACACGGUCCAGACUCCUACGGGAGGCAGCAGUGGGGAAUAUUGGACAAUGGGCGCAAGCCUGAUCCAGCCAUACCGCGUGGGUGAAGAAGGCCUUCGGGUUGUAAAGCCCUUUUGUUGGGAAAGAAAAGCAGCAGGUUAAUACCCCGCUGUUCUGACGGUACCCAAAGAAUAAGCACCGGCUAACUUCGUG
Molecule: ribosomal RNA, 492 nt
Filed under: uncultured bacterium
Lineage: Bacteria
Description: partial 16S ribosomal RNA
Rfam family: Bacterial small subunit ribosomal RNA
Source: RNAcentral